GUGAAAACCAUGCUAAUACCGCAUACGCCCUAAGGGGGAAAGCGGGGGAUCUUCGGACCUCGCGCUAUUAGAUGAGCCUGCGUAAGAUUAGCUAGUUGGUGGGGUAAAAGCCUACCAAGGCGACGAUCUUUAGCUGGUCUGAGAGGAUGAUCAGCCACACUGGAACUGAGACACGGUCCAGACUCCUACGGGAGGCAGCAGUGGGGAAUAUUGCGCAAUGGGGGAAACCCUGACGCAGCCAUGCCGCGUGUGUGAAGAAGGCCUUAGGGUUGUAAAGCACUUUCAGCNGGGAGGAAAAGUUAAUCGUUAAUAGCNAUUAGCCNUGACGUUACCCNCAGAAGAAGCACCGGCUAAUUCAGUGCCAGCAGCCGCGGUAAUACUGAAGGUGCAAGCGUUAAUCGGAAUUACUGGGCGUAAAGCGCGCGUAGGCGGCUUGUUAAGUCGGAUGUGAAAGCCCUGGGCUCAACCCGGGAACUGCAUACGAUACUGGCAAGCUAGAGUAUGGGAGAGGGCUGUGGAAUUUCUAGUGUAGCGGUGAAAUGCGUAGAUAUUAGAAGGAACAUCAGUGGCGAAGGCGGC
RNAcentral lists this ribosomal RNA (579 nucleotides) under bacterium HTCC8019. RNAcentral's name for it is "bacterial SSU rRNA". It matches the Rfam family "Bacterial small subunit ribosomal RNA", at positions 151 to 725 of the family's 1533-position model. The record is from RNAcentral.